GAGUUUGAUCCUGGCUCAGAUCGAACGCUGGCGGCGUGCUUAACACAUGCAAGUCAGGGGGAAAGUCCUAAAGGGGGCGAGUAUACCGGCGCACGGGUGAGUAACACGUGAGUAACCUGCCUUUUAGACUGGAACAACUUACCGAAAGGUGAGCUAAUGCCGGAUGCAUAAUGUAACCGCAUGGUUAUAUAGAAAAAGCCGGGGCGACCUGGCGCUGAAAGAUGGACUCGCGUCCCAUUAGCUAGUUGGUGGGGUAGAGGCCUACCAAGGCGACGAUGGGUAGCCGGCCUGAGAGGGUGGCCGGCCACACUGGGACUGAGACACGGCCCAGACUCCUACGGGAGGCAGCAGUGGGGAAUUUUGCGCAAUGCUCGAGAGAGUGACGCAGCGACGCCGCGUGAAUGACGAAGGCCUUCGGGUCGUAAAGUUCUUUCGACUGGGAAGAAAAUGUAUAUCAGUAACUGGGUAUAUAGUGACGGUACCUGUAUAAGCAGCCCCGGCUAACUCCGUGCCAGCAGCCGCGGUAAUACGGAGGGGGCGAGCGUUGUU
This 549-nucleotide ribosomal RNA is filed under the name uncultured bacterium. RNAcentral describes it as "bacterial SSU rRNA". It matches the Rfam family "Bacterial small subunit ribosomal RNA", at positions 9 to 545 of the family's 1533-position model. The record is from RNAcentral.